UGAACGCUAGCUACAGGCUUAACACAUGCAAGUCGAGGGGCAGCAUGGUCUUAGCUUGCUAAGGCCGAUGGCGACCGGCGCACGGGUGAGUAACACGUAUCCAACCUGCCGUCUACUCUUGGACAGCCUUCUGAAAGGAAGAUUAAUACAAGAUGGCAUCAUGAGUCCACAUGUUCACAUGAUUAAAGGUAUUCCGGUAGACGAUGGGGAUGCGUUCCAUUAGAUAGUAGGCGGGGUAACGGCCCACCUAGUCUUCGAUGGAUAGGGGUUCUGAGAGGAAGGUCCCCCACAUUGGAACUGAGACACGGUCCAAACUCCUACGGGAGGCAGCAGUGAGGAAUAUUGGUCAAUGGGCGAGAGCCUGAACCAGCCAAGUAGCGUGAAGGAUGACUGCCCUAUGGGUUGUAAACUUCUUUUAUAAAGGAAUAAAGUCGGGUAUGGAUACCCGUUUGCAUGUACUUUAUGAAUAAGGAUCGGCUAACUCCGUGCCAGCAGCCGCGGUAAUACGGAGGAUCCGAGCGUUAUCCGGAUUUAUUGGGUUUAAAGGGAGCGUAGAUGGAUGUUUAAGUCAGUUGUGAAAGUUUGCGGCUCAACCGUAAAAUUGCAGUUGAUACUGGAUCUCUUGAGUGCAGUUGAGGCAGGCGGAAUUCGUGGUGUAGCGGUGAAAUGCUUAGAUAUCACGAAGAACUCCGAUUGCGAAGGCAGCCUGCUAAGCUGCAACUGACAUUGAGGCUCGAAAGUGUGGGUAUCAAACAGGAUUAGAUACCCUGGUAGUCCACACGGUAAACGAUGAAUACUCGCUGUUUGCGAUAUACUGCAAGCGGCCAAGCGAAAGCGUUAAGUAUUCCACCUGGGGAGUACGCCGGCAACGGUGAAACUCAAAGGAAUUGACGGGGGCCCGCACAAGCGGAGGAACAUGUGGUUUAAUUCGAUGAUACGCGAGGAACCUUACCCGGGCUUAAAUUGCAGAUGAAUUACGGUGAAAGCCGUAAGCCGCAAGGCAUCUGUGAAGGUGCUGCAUGGUUGUCGUCAGCUCGUGCCGUGAGGUGUCGGCUUAAGUGCCAUAACGAGCGCAACCCUUGUUGUCAGUUACUAACAGGUUCCGCUGAGGACUCUGACAAGACUGCCAUCGUAAGAUGUGAGGAAGGUGGGGAUGACGUCAAAUCAGCACGGCCCUUACGUCCGGGGCUACACACGUGUUACAAUGGGGGGUACAGAGGGCCGCUACCACGCGAGUGGAUGCCAAUCCCCAAAACCUCUCUCAGUUCGGACUGGAGUCUGCAACCCGACUCCACGAAGCUGGAUUCGCUAGUAAUCGCGCAUCAGCCACGGCGCGGUGAAUACGUUCCCGGGCCUUGUACACACCGCCCGUCAAGCCAUGGGAGCCGGGGGUACCUGAAGUGCGUAACCGCGAGGAGCGCCCUAGGGUAAAACUGGUGACUGGGGCUAAGU
This 1452-nucleotide ribosomal RNA is filed under the name uncultured organism. RNAcentral's name for it is "SSU rRNA". It matches the Rfam family "Bacterial small subunit ribosomal RNA". The record is from RNAcentral.